AUACCUUUCUCGGCCUUUUGGCUAAGAUCAAGUGUAGUAUCUGUUCUUAUCAGUUUAAUAUCUGAUAUGUGAACCAAUGGUUCACACGAUAUUAAAUUAAUUUGUUGAGGGGGAGAUUUCACUACAAUAGCUUGCUAUUGGAUUUCUCAAGUGUUGCUUAUGUGUUGCACUACAACAUGAGCUAGGCGCACCCCAC
Molecule: non-coding RNA, 196 nt
Organism: Cicer arietinum (chickpea)
Lineage: Eukaryota; Viridiplantae; Streptophyta; Magnoliopsida; Fabales; Fabaceae
Source: Rfam